CCAUAAAACUCUAGGAGAUGCAGUGAAGAAGAAAAGAUGCAGAAAAUAUCACGAACACUAGACAAGGUGACUCCUACCGUCGCCGCCCGAAGACGAUACGGCCCGCCGCCAAUCUAGACCCCGCGCAAAUGUUACACAGGUGUCAUGGAGCAUCAGGAUCCCAACACCUGCCACAAGCGUUCCUUGUACCUCAUCAUGGAAUAAUCAGUGAAAUCACAGGUUAUGGUGGGAUGGUAUGUUUGUAUUUACAAAUUAACAAUACAACCUUAACACAAAAAAUCCAGAUUGAAUGUAUGUUGAUCAUUUUACAGUCUUAGUUUAUAAAAAUAGAAUGGUCAAACAUUAUCACAAAAUAAAUAUGAUACACAAAA
Scylla paramamosain (green mud crab) is the source of this 371-nucleotide long non-coding RNA. RefSeq lists it as uncharacterized. Lineage: Eukaryota; Metazoa; Arthropoda; Malacostraca; Decapoda; Portunidae. The record is from RefSeq and is a predicted model, not a curated record. The transcript has 2 exons.